CAAACCCUAACGCCCCUCCUCUUCCGGACCCUCGGUAGCCGCGGCUGGAGCUGCUCAGACCCGCCUCUCUCCCGCAUCACACGAGCUCACAACGCCCUCACCUCCUCCGCUGCCGAGCUCGGAUACCCUAACCCUAGCAUCGGCUUCUUCGCUACCACUGGGGACCCCAUUUCUCCCCCCCACCCCCCUCCCAAUCUCUCUUUUGUAGUAGUAGCAACAGCAGUGUAAGGGAUUCGAGAGAAGAGGAAAGUGGAGGUAGGAGACGACGAGAACCUAUUUAUAAAAAAAUUAAAAAAUAAAAAUCGAUCUGUUUAUAGUUUAAGAACUGCGGCUGUGAGAUGACACUUUAUAAAAGAAAGAGAGAGAGAGAGAGAGAGAGAGAGAGAGAGAGAGCACGGGGAUA
RNAcentral lists this long non-coding RNA (403 nucleotides) under Ananas comosus (pineapple). RNAcentral's name for it is "long non-coding RNA (ACOM_LNC014457)". The record is from RNAcentral. Lineage: Eukaryota; Viridiplantae; Streptophyta; Magnoliopsida; Poales; Bromeliaceae.